UACCAGCACCCCGAGUGGUCGGGACGAUUAUUGGGCCUAAAGCAUCCGUAGCCGGUUCUACAAGUCUUCCGUUAAAUCCACCUGCUUAACAGAUGGGCUGCGGAGGAUACUAUAGAGCUAGGAGGCGGGAGAGGCAAGCGGUACUUAGUGGGUAGGGGUAAAAUCCGUUGAUCCAUUGAAGACCACCAGUGGCGAAGGCGGCUUGCCAGAACGCACUCGACGGUGAGGGAUGAAAGCUGGGGGGAGCAAACCGGG
RNAcentral lists this ribosomal RNA (255 nucleotides) under uncultured bacterium. RNAcentral's name for it is "partial 16S ribosomal RNA". It matches the Rfam family "Archaeal small subunit ribosomal RNA", at positions 474 to 728 of the family's 1478-position model. The record is from RNAcentral.